This 3219-nucleotide long non-coding RNA is filed under the name Manihot esculenta (cassava). Its description in RNAcentral is "long non-coding RNA (MESC_LNC006043)". The record is from RNAcentral. Lineage: Eukaryota; Viridiplantae; Streptophyta; Magnoliopsida; Malpighiales; Euphorbiaceae.
GACUUGCUAUAGUUUAUUAUUUAAACAAUUAUUUUAUUUUAGUUUUGUUUGGACUUGUAUUCUGGCCAUAUUUUAUCUUUUAAGUUUUAGAGUGUUGGGCUAUGUUUUGGUCUUAUGUUUUAAUACUUAUGUGUUUGAUGUGUUAUUUUAGUGUGUGAUUGGGCUUGGGUCUUGUGUGUGGUUCGACCAGCCCGAAAAAGAGUGUCUUAGGGUUUUAUUUUCUCUCCUUACUAUAUAAGGAUAAGAAACACUUGUAAGAUGCAGCUUUGAAUCUAAAUUUUCAGAAUUCUUUUCAUGUCUUUGGCAUCUAUUGCUUUGAGUGAGAGUGAGGAUUUGCUUUCAUCAAUUGCACCAAGAAUCUUGACUAACUUAUCAACUAUUUGUUGUGGUAUUUAUCAGAUUCUCAUAUAAAUCCUUCGAUCAUUGGUGUUUUAGCUUCUCUAAGUGUGGGGUGCCAUAGGAGGUAGGUUUAUUAAAUCUUUGGGUUGCAUAUCUACUUGUACGUGUGGGUUUGAGGCUUGUGCCAUAGAGUUCCACGUCAAUUGAGUUUUCCUUUUCUUUCUUGUUGUUUUUGGUGAAAGCUUUUUUAUCUAUGGCUGCACCUUCUUGAUUAUUAAUCAUUGCAUAAUCUCUUUUGGAAGAAAAUUCGAAAUCCGUAAAAAAAAAAUCGCCUUUGCUUUAUUUAUCUUGAUCUGGUCGAAAUUGUGAUAUAAUUCCUAUUUCAUCCAUAUUGCCUUACCUAUCUCAAUUGAUUGCUGUAAUUUAUGGGAAUCAAUUUUGAAUUUUGAAUUUUGAAUUGGGUUGAAUCCAGAUUAGGAGACAAAAGAAAUAUGCCUAUUGAAUUUUUUUUUUCUUUUUUCUGAUUCUAUUUUUGGGGUUUUGAUACUUGCCUUUUUGGGUAGGUUUAAAUAGAUCCAUAUUUAAUUUGUUUUAAAGUGAAUUAAAUUCAAAAUUUUGUCCAGGUUCGUUUUUAUUUGAAUUCUAAGUUUCCUUUUUUGGUUUAAGCUUGCUUUUCCUUCCUUAACAUUGCUGGAGUAUUGUUUGCUUGUGUCUAUACUCUAGGUGAUAUUUUUCAAGUAGCACAAAACCUAGUUCGUGUGUUACUUUUCAAAUCGUCAGUAUCUUCUUUCUAGUUUUUUGCAUGCUUCCUUCUUUCUUGAGGUUUUCUUCUUUGUUUCAUUAAACGCACCUUGUGGUUGGUUGGUUGACCUUAGUUUCUAAAGUACAAUUAAAGAAUCAGCAAAAGAGUGGUAAGAGUGCAAACACUUGAGUGCUUUUAUUUCUGACACCAUAUUUGCUAGUUCUCUUUGUUCUUUAUUGAUUUAAGGUAGGAUGAGUAAAUAUAAAAAUGUGGUGGAUAGUGAUGAUGAAAGUGAAUGGGACAUGGCUAGUGAUUAUAAGCUCUUCAAAAACUCAGUUAGUGGUGAGUUUAGAAGGUUUUAUAGGACUCUUGAGAGGUUGACUGAAACUAUGGAGAGUUUGAAUGUCUCACAAGCUUCCACUUCUACAAGAAUACCUCAAAGAACUCAUAAUUGCAAUGACUGUGAUGAUUCGGGUGUAUUUGUUGAUAAUGUGUUGCUUGCUGAACACUGUGAGAUGCUUGUUACUAGGCGUGCUCUAAAUAUGCAGGUUAAGGAAGAAAGCCCAGAACAACGGAAAAACAUAUUUCACACUAGAUGUUUGGUUAAUGGAAAAGUAUGUACUCUCAUUAUUGAUGGAGGUAGUUGCACAAAUAUGGAUAGUGUGUAUGUGGUGGAGAAAUUGAGCUUGGCUUCUAUUAAACACCCUAAGCCAUAUAGAUUGCAAUGGUUGAACGAUUAUGGUGAGGUUAGGGUUACACGCCAGGUGGUUAUACCAUUUUCUAUUGGUAGGUACAAGGAUGAGAUCUUGUGUGAUGUGGUACCUAUGCAAGCAAGCCAUAUGUUGUUGGGUAGGCCGUGGCAAUAUGAUAGAAAGGUGCAACAUGAUGGGUUCAAUAACAAGUACUCCUUCACUCAUGAAGGACAAAGGGGAGUUAGAGCUUGAGUUCUGCAGAAAAAAUGAGAGAAAAGAGUGAGUCUGAGGGUAAAGGGGCUGAAAAAGAAUCAAGACUAGUUCAAGGAGGGAAGAUGGAGAAAGAAAAGGAGAAAGAAGAGGCUAGAGUUUCAAUCUCAACUUCCAUAGAGAUUGAAAUUGAAGAGGAAGUUGUAAUACAUGAAUCUAAUGUAGUUGUUGUUGAAAAUUCCAUCAAUGAGCUUAUAGAAGAGGUUGUGAAUAAUGGUGGACAUAGGGAGCACGUGAUUGAUGAGGUGGAGGAGGCAAAUGAGACUAUUUUGGAAGUUGUAGAGGAGAAUGGGUCACAUCCACAUGAUCUUUCUAUGACUAAUAUUUUUAUGCCUAGUUUAUUUGUUCUUAAUGUGCAAGUUGUUGAUGAAAACAUCCAUGACGAAAGUUUUAUGCUAUUUCCAUCUAUUCAAGAUGAGGUCUUUGAAGAUGCAUGGGUUCCUAAAGCUUCCCUUCUUGACAUAAAUAUCAGCAAGAUUCAAGGACGAAUCUUUUUUAAAAAAGGAGGAAAUGAUACAGAUCUAAUAGGGCAAAUUUCUAACAAUGGUAUGGAGCAAACUUAUGUCAUUCAAAUGGAUCUAAAAGGAGUUCAAAAUCAUAUUCAUAUGAUCCAUAUAUAUUUUGGGCGUGCUUCAACUCAUAUAGGGCAGAUUUGGUGCAACACUUACAAUCAUAAGCUUAGGGAGCCUAAUCAAACCUACGAGCUAAAACUACAUAAAGGGAAGCCUAAAGUGAAGAUCAAGAAAGGCUUUUGUGAAGAUUCAGCUUUGUUAUGAUGGACUUGCUAUUUGUUUGGGCUUGUAUUCUGCCAUAUUUUAUCAAGUUUUAGAGUGUUGGGCUAUGUUUUGGACUUAUGUUUUAAUACUUAUGUGUUGGAUGUGUUAUUUUAGUGUAUGAUUGGGCUUGGGUCUUGUGUGUGGUUCGGCUAGCCCGAAAAAGAGUAUCUUAGGGUUUUAUUUUCUCUCCUUACUAUAUAAGGAUAAGAAACACUUGUAAGAGGCAGCUUUGAAUCUAAAUUUUCAGAAUUCUUUUCAUGCCUUUGGCGUGUAUUGCUUUGAGUGAGAGUGAGGAUUUGCUUUCAUCAAUUGCACCAAGAAUCUUGGCUAACUUAUCAACUAUUUGUUGUGGCGUUUGUCGGAUUCUCAUAUAAAUCCUUCGAUCAUUGGUGUUUCAGCU